UCGGGAAACCGAGGUUAAUACCGGAUACUCCAUAUUUGUCGCAUGGGCGGAAUAUGGGGAAAAGGCUCCGGCGGCAAAGGAUGGGCCGCGGCCUGUUAGCUAGUUGGUGGGGUAGUGGCCUACCAAGGCAAUGAUGGGUAGCCGGGUUGAGAGACCGACCGGCCAGAUUGGGACUGAGACACGGCCCAGACUCCUACGGGAGGCAGCAGCU
Molecule: ribosomal RNA, 211 nt
Filed under: uncultured Atopobium sp.
Lineage: Bacteria; Bacillati; Actinomycetota; Coriobacteriia; Coriobacteriales; Atopobiaceae
Description: partial 16S ribosomal RNA
Rfam family: Bacterial small subunit ribosomal RNA
Source: RNAcentral